AUGCCAAUCUGCAACUGGGUAGUCUAAAGCUGUCAUUAAGGCAUAACAUUAGAAAUAUUUCCUGAGAAAUAUGAGUUGGAAUGAAGGUCUCCUUUCUUGUCAUGGCAACAGGAGAACUCAUCUUAGGAAUACUGGGAAAUGGGUUCAUUGGACUGGUAAACUGCAUCGAAUGGGUCAAGAAUGGGAAGGUCUCAUCAGCUGAUUUCAUCCUUACCAGCUUGGACACAGUGAGAAACGUUGGUUAUAUUACCAAGGGUUUGACUGGAAGGUCAUGUUUGAGAAAGAAAUGCAUAAACUCAGAUAUGACUAAAUAAACUUAAGGAAUUAAGGUUGACUCUAUGAAGUUGACAAAGCUUCUUGGAAAAACAGCCUGGUCCCUCACUCUCAGGAUUCCUUACAGCCUAACCAGCACUGCAAACUGAAGCUGAACAACUUGAUAUAAAAUUAAGAGAGAUUGCCACAACAGCCAACGUUUAGAAAAUCUUGGUGCCUGUUGCUGAGUAAGCCAUUCAGAAAGUUUACCGAUCAUUUGACGACAUCAUAGAGGCAUUUCAAACUACAAAAGAUGCUUUGACAAUGACAUCUAGAAAUCUUCUUGAUUGGCUACCCCCUAGAAUCAGAAACUGGUUUAUAAUUUGCUGCAACCAUUAACCAUUCUUUUUCUUGAUUUCCAUAGAAAUGACUCAUUAAAUACCUGAUUGCUUGCAACAUACAUUUAACUUUGGGAACCUACUUGCAUCACUGCCUCCUGAAAUGAGACACAACUGUUUAAUUGAACUGACCUAUUUUCAAGGCUAAAGGAUUAA
This 806-nucleotide long non-coding RNA is filed under the name Equus caballus (horse). RNAcentral's name for it is "lncRNA (ENSECAG00000044974.1)". The record is from RNAcentral. Lineage: Eukaryota; Metazoa; Chordata; Mammalia; Perissodactyla; Equidae.